CAAACUUAAAGGAAUUGACGGGGACCCGCACAAGCGGUGGAUGAUGUGGUUUAAUUCGAUGCAACGCGAAAAACCUUACCCACCUUUGACAUGUAUGGAAUCCCGCAGAGAUGUGGGAGUGCUCGCAAGAGAGCCAUAACACAGGUGCUGCAUGGCUGUCGUCAGCUCGUGUCGUGAGAUGUUGGGUUAAGUCCCGCAACGAGCGCAACCCUUGCCAUCAGUUGCUACGAAAGGGCACUCUGAUGGGACUGCCGGUGACAAACCGGAGGAAGGUGGGGAUGACGUCAAGUCCUCAUGGCCCUUAUAGGUGGGGCUACACACGUCAUACAAUGGCCGGUACAAAGGGCAGCGAAGCCGCGAGGUGAAGCCAAUCCCAUAAAGCCGGUCGUAGUCCGGAUCGCAGUCUGCAACUCGACUGCGUGAAGUCGGAAUCGCUAGUAAUCGUGGAUCAGCAUGUCACGGUGAAUACGUUCCCGGGUCUUGUACACACCGCCCGUCACACCAUGGGAGCGGGUCUCACCAGAAGCAGGUAGCCUAACCGCAAGGAGGGCGCUUGCCACGGUGGGGUUCGUGAC
This 575-nucleotide ribosomal RNA is filed under the name uncultured Comamonas sp. Its description in RNAcentral is "bacterial SSU rRNA". It matches the Rfam family "Bacterial small subunit ribosomal RNA", at positions 896 to 1475 of the family's 1533-position model. Lineage: Bacteria; Pseudomonadati; Pseudomonadota; Betaproteobacteria; Burkholderiales; Comamonadaceae. The record is from RNAcentral.